UAAGGGUGUGGUAGCAGCCCGGAGGAAAACUUUGUCAAGUUGGUGAUGAGGAAAUACGGCUGCUCCUGAAAACAGUUUGGCCUACAGAAGAGAGACAGCUUCUUGGUCCUCAGGAGAUAGCCCUUCUCACGUGCUUCACAGUUACUCAGGAGCUUCUUUCUGUGCAAAAGAGACUGCUGACUUUCUAUUUUAUUUCUGAGAAUGCAGGAUUACACUAUACUACAGUUUGAAGAAAAACUUGGAAAAAGAAAUGUAUGCAUGGUUAAACAUCCCAAUACACCUUUUUUAUGAUUUCUGUACUUUAAUGUCCUUUAUUCUUUUACUCAUUUGGCAAGGACACAGCUAACACAGUCCCACAAGAUUGUAUAUAACCCACCCUGUAAUUUAUAUACGUUAACUACAUUAUAUAUUUUAUAUGUGGACCAAGACAGUUCCCCUUCAUUCAGUGCAGCUGAGGCAAGCCAAAAGCUUGGAAACCCAUGUUCUAGGAGAAAUGUCUACACCCUUUUUUUACUGAUAUGGAAGAAUUUUUACACCAAAAAUGAUGUCAGAAGGAAAACUGGGUCUAUUCCAAACUGUUUGAAAGAACACAGGACACUUGCCUGAAGCAGAGUAGAUGUUUGUUUCUGAAGGUACCAAACAAGCAAAAUGCAAGAUCAACUCUUCAAAGGUGGACACAUGUCAAUUUCCCAGGAUACUUUCUUUUAUGGGAAAACCUUUCUAUUGUUCCUUGAAACUGGCCCUCUAUGAUUUCUUGGAAAGUGCAAUU
Long non-coding RNA from Ahaetulla prasina, 769 nucleotides. RefSeq lists it as uncharacterized. The record is from RefSeq and is a predicted model, not a curated record. The transcript is spliced from 3 exons. NCBI's taxonomy places the organism in Eukaryota, Metazoa, Chordata, Lepidosauria, Squamata, Colubridae.